GAUGAACGCUGGCGGCGUGCUUAACACAUGCAAGUCGAACGGAAAGACGAGGCUUUUGCUGGUCGCUCGUGUGCCGAACGGGUGAGUAACACGCGUGUAACCUGCACUUGUAUGUGGGAUAUCAUUAGGAAAAUGGGGCUAAUACCGGAUAGGAGCUCCUGCUGCGUGGUGGGGGAUGGAAAGUUUCGGCGGUUGUGGAUCGACUCGCUGCUUAUCAGCUAGUUGGGGGGGUAGUUGCUGACCAAGGCUUUGACGGGUAGCCUGCAUGAGCGGGUGGCCGGGCACAAUGGUACUGAGAGACGGAGCAGUCUCGUACGUGAGGCAGUAGUGGGGAAUAUUGCACAACGGGCGCAAGCGUGAUGCAGCAACGCUGCGUGCGUGAUAACGUCCUACGGGUUGUAAACCGCUUUGGACUGUGCCGAAGCGUGAGUGACGGUAAUUGGUAAAAAAGCACCGGCUAACUACGUG
RNAcentral lists this ribosomal RNA (468 nucleotides) under uncultured bacterium. RNAcentral's name for it is "partial 16S ribosomal RNA". It matches the Rfam family "Bacterial small subunit ribosomal RNA", at positions 28 to 507 of the family's 1533-position model. The record is from RNAcentral.